This 314-nucleotide unclassified non-coding RNA is filed under the name fungal sp. Its description in RNAcentral is "partial internal transcribed spacer region". The stretch from base 1 to 46 matches the Rfam family "Eukaryotic small subunit ribosomal RNA", at positions 1786 to 1831 of the family's 1831-position model. The record is from RNAcentral. Lineage: Eukaryota; Fungi.
AAGUCGUAACAAGGUUUCCGUAGGUGAACCUGCGGAAGGAUCAUUAAUAAUUUUCUUUUGAUCCAUUUUCCACAUGGAUCAAUCCAUCCCAUAUCCAUCUUGUGUGCACUGAUUGAAACCAUAUAUGCUUUUGGCAGUGCAAGCGUCUGGAUUUUUUUUUUGUUUCCUUGACCCCCCUGCCUGCCAAAAGUUUUUAAGUCUAACCAAUCCGCAAUUCCUUCCAAUCUUUUUUCUGGCCUGAAAAUUCGUUUAUUGUAUUAAAUAAAUAAAUAAAAAAAAAAAAACAACCUUCAACAACGGAUCUCUUGGCUCUC